GACGAACGCUGGCGGCGUGCUUAACACAUGCAAGUCGAACGGAAAGGCCCUGCUUUUGUUUGUUUCUCGUUUGGCGAACGGGUGUGUAACACGUGUGUAUCCUGCCCUUGACUUUGGGAUAACUUCAGGAAAAUGCGGCUAAUACCGCAUAUGAUCUUCUGCUGCAUGUUGGUGGUUGGAAAGUUUCGGCCGUUGUGGAUGGACUCGCGGCUUAUGAGCUUCUUGGUGUGGUAGUGACUUACCAAGGCUUUGACGGGUAGCCGGCCUGAGAGGGUAAACGGCGACAUUAGGACUGAGAGACGGAGCAGACUGCUACGGGAGGCAGCGGUGGAGAGUAUUACGGAAUGGGCGGAAGCGUGAGGCGGAAACGCCGGGAGCGGGAUGACGGGCUUCGGGUUGUAAACAGAUUUCGCCUGUGACGAAGAGUGAGUGACGGUAAUGGGUAAAGAAGCAACGGCUAACUACGUG
This 468-nucleotide ribosomal RNA is filed under the name uncultured bacterium. RNAcentral describes it as "partial 16S ribosomal RNA". It matches the Rfam family "Bacterial small subunit ribosomal RNA", at positions 28 to 507 of the family's 1533-position model. The record is from RNAcentral.